CGUUCGGGUUCAAGUUCCUUGGAAUAGGACAUCAGAGAGGGUGAGAAUCCCGUCUGUGAUCCGAUCGGUUUCGGUACGAUAACGUUUCUAAGAGUCGAGUUGUUUGGGAUUGCAGCUCAAAAUGGGUGGUAAAUUCCAUCUAAGGCUAAAUAUAGGCGAGAGACCGAUAGCGAACAAGUACCGUGAGGGAAAGAUGAAAAGAACUUUGAAAAGAGAGUUAAACAGUACGUGAAAUUGUUGAUAGGGAAACGAUUGAAGUCAGUCAUGCCGGUGAAAAAUCAGCUUACAGGCUACUGUGAGUGCACUUUUUCGCAAGGCAGGUUAACAUCGGUUUUUGUUGCGUCAUAAUGAUUGUAGGAAGGUGGCUCCUUCGGGAGUGUUAUAGCCUACUUUAGAUGGCACGACGAGGACUGAGGAUUGCAGCGAAUGCCUUUGGCUACGGAUCUUUUCUCUGUCGAUCUUCAAUUGAUCGUCAGCUUGCUGACGAGCGGUUGAUAGGUUUACAACAGGGUGGAAUUCGAUAAAUUCGCUAAGGAUGUUGACGUAAUGGCUUUAAACGACCCGUCUUGAAACACGGACCAAGGAGUCUAACAUACGUGCGAGUGUUUGGGUGACAAACCCAUUCGCGUAAUGAAAGUGAACGUAGGUGGGAGCCUUUUGGUGCACCAUCAACC
Molecule: ribosomal RNA, 674 nt
Filed under: uncultured Glomeromycotina
Lineage: Eukaryota; Fungi; Glomeromycota
Description: eukaryotic LSU rRNA
Rfam family: Eukaryotic large subunit ribosomal RNA
Source: RNAcentral